Non-coding RNA from Paramisgurnus dabryanus, 771 nucleotides. NCBI's taxonomy places the organism in Eukaryota, Metazoa, Chordata, Actinopteri, Cypriniformes, Cobitidae. The record is from RefSeq and is a predicted model, not a curated record.
ACGUUAGCACGUUAUUGCAAUAUCCCAUAGUACAUACAUGUUAUUAAAACUUGAACUAAUGCAUUGUGAGUCUUAUAAAUUGCUUACAUACCUCACCGAUUUCCCACUGUCUGGAAAACGCUCGGUUUAGUUCCUGUCUCCGCCUCCCAAAAUGUCUAGUGUAUUCGGAUUGGUCAGAUGACUACUCAACUGUUAUUGGUCAGCUGGGUUCGGCGUGUGUUUGAAAGGUUACGCCCCUGACUACGCGUGGGUUGACACAGAUUCUGACUGAGAGUCACAGCCUCAGAGGCAACGUAAACAAGCGCUAUAUUUCUCUAUAAACGAUGGUGUCUGUACUGCCUUACCACUUCGAGCUCGAUCCAGAGAGUUCAGAAGGCCGUUACGAUAUAAACGAUCUCCGUCAAUGAAUGCGAUUGGAUUUAACUUUUUUAGGUGUCCUUAGCUCUGCCAGAAUGCUAAACGAAGACGAAAAUGUGUUGCAAAGACAUCCAAAAGGUUUUAAGGAGAAUGCAACAGGUUCCAGGGCCUCUUACCUGCGUGAUUCAUCAUCCAGGUUUUGCACAAAUUGUCUAAAUCCCUACACACAGAACAUUUAUUGUACGGACUAUAAGCCUUUGAGGCGCAGGACUAGAAUAUGCUUGGAGCUUCCUGAUCGGAAUGUUGGCUUCCGACGACCCCUGCACUGAAGAUGGCAUGCAAUCACGUCCUCCUUUGAAGGUCUCUCAAACUGUGAUGCCAGGUCCAUUGGAAUCGGGGUUUCCUUCAGCUUAU